GAAUAGCGUUUAGAGUUGCCAUCUAUUGCGAGGCUUCCAUGUGUGUGGCGAUUACUCAGAACCGGCCUGUUUCGCUUUCAAUUCGUUUUAAGGCAGCCAAAAAAAGAGCCAUCUAACCAUAUUAAUCCCCAACUUGACCGUUCACUUAAAUACAAUCCUAAGUAAGUGGAUAUAAUCACUGGCUUGCAUCCGCGCGUUUUCUGACAGGUGGGGAAGGUUGCAGCAGAGACAAAGGUGAAUCGCGCAAAGCAACAGAAAAAAUUGCUCUCGGACAAUUGUCAAAAAUUACGCAAAAUUCCCACACAUACACCCAUACCUGACAUCCCCCGCCCGACCCGACCGAUUGCCUGGCCUCUCUAGACGUCUGCACGAAAUAGAAAGUAAUAAAGAAACAAAAAAAGAACGCAAAAUGACUUCCGAUAUAACGCUGCAGUUGAUUGCUAUUUUGGAGAAGACAGUGUCGCCAGACAAAAAUGAACUCUUGUCGGCAAAGAACUUCUUGGAACAGGCAGCCGCCAGCAAUCUGCCGGAGUUCCUUAAGGCACUGUCGGAGAUUUUGGUCAAUACGACAAACAGCGCCGUGGCACGCAUGGCCGCUGGUCUUCAGCUCAAAAAUCACUUGACCAGCAAAGAUGAGAAUGUACGGCAACAGCAUCAGGAGCGUUGGCAUCAGUUCCCCACCGAGAUCCGGGAACUGAUCAAGAACAAUAUUCUUAAUGCCUUGGGUACUGAGAAUACGCGUCCCUCUUGUGCCGCGCAGUGCGUGGCCUAUGUGGCUGUCAUAGAGCUGCCCAUCAAUCGCUGGGGCAUGGUCAUCCAGACCCUGGUCAACAAGGUGGUCAGCGAAGGAUCGAGCGAAAUGCAUCGCGAGUCUGCCCUUGAGGCCAUUGGCUACAUUUGCCAGGACAUACGCUUUGGCGUGAUGGAGAAUCAAUCGAAUCAGGUGCUCACGGCCAUCAUUCAUGGCAUGCGCAAGGUCGAGCCAAGCAACCAUGUCCGUCUGGCCGCCACCACGGCUCUGCACAACUCGCUCGAGUUCACCAAGGCCAAUUUUGAGAAGGACAUGGAGCGCAACUUCAUCAUGGAGGUGGUCUGCGAGGCCACCCAGUCCACGGACACUCAGAUCUGUGUGGCUGCCCUUCAGUGUCUGGUGAAGAUUAUGACACUGUACUAUCAGUUCAUGGAGCCCUAUAUGGCUCAGGCCCUCUUCCCCAUAACGCUGGAGGCCAUGAAGUCGGAGAACGAUGCCGUUGCCCUUCAGGGCAUUGAGUUCUGGUCCAACGUCUGCGAUGAGGAGAUCGAUCUGGCCAUCGAGAGCCAGGAGGCCACCGAUCAGGGUCGUGCCCCAGCGCGUGUGUCCAAGCAUUAUGCACGCGGUGCUCUGCAGUUCCUUACGCCUGUACUGGUUGACAAGCUAACCAAACAGGAUGAGUGCGAUGAUGAGGAUACCUGGAGUCCGGCCAAGGCUUCGUCGGUGUGCCUCAUAGUGCUGGCCACUUGUUGCGAGGACGAAAUAGUGCCCCAUGUGUUGCCGUUCAUCCAGGAGAACAUUGAAUCGCAGAACUGGCGCUUCAGAGAUGCCGCCGUCAUGACCUUUGGCUCUGUGCUCAGUGGACUGGAGACCAAUACGCUGAAGCCUUUGGUGGAGCAGGCCAUGCCCACGCUGAUACGUUUGAUGUAUGAUUCUAGUGUCAUUGUGCGUGAUACCACAGCCUGGACUUUUGGACGCAUUUGCGAUAUCAUUCCAGAGGCUGCCAUCGACAAGACCUAUCUACAGCCGCUGCUCGAGUGCUUUGUAAAGAGCUUGAAGUCGGAGCCUCGUGUGGCCGCCAAUGUUUGCUGGGCAUUCAUUGGCCUCUCCGAUGCCGCCUACGAUGCGGCCUCCACCGGAGAGCGCGAGCGCGAGACACCCGAGACGUACGCGCUGUCGCCGUACUUUGAGUUUAUUAUCACACAGCUGCUGGAGACCACCGAUCGUUCGGAUGGGGCCCAAGCCAAUCUGCGUGGAGCUGCCUAUGAGGCUCUCAUGGAUAUGAUCAAGAAUUCGCCCCUCGAUUGCUAUCUGGUGGUGCAGCGCACUACCAUUGUGAUUCUGGAGCGUUUGAACCAAGUCAUGCAGAUGGAGUCGCACAUCAGCAAUCACAGCGAUCGCCAUCAGUUUAACGAUCUGCAGUCGCUGCUCUGCGCCACGCUGCAGAGUGUCCUGCGAAAGGUGCACGAAGAGGAUGCCCCACAGAUAUCCGAUGCCAUCAUGAAUGCCCUGUUCAUGAUGUUCCAGUCAAGUGCUGGCAAAUCGGGAGGUGUGCAGGAGGAUGCCUACCUAGCCGUGUCUACACUGGUGGAGCUUUUGGGCGUACAGUUUAUGAAGUACAUGCCGGCCUUCAAGGAUGUCCUAAUCAUGGGCCUCAAGAACCAUCAGGAGUAUCAGGUAUGCUGUGCCACUGUCGGCCUCACCGGCGAUAUUUGCCGCGCCCUCAAGGAGCAGAUGGUCCCUUAUUGCGAUGAGAUUAUGUCCGUAAUGAUGACCAAUCUGGCGGAGCCCACGCUGCAUCGCACUGUCAAGCCGCAGAUACUCACGGUCUUUGGCGAUAUGGCUCUCAGUAUUGGAAGCCAUUUCCUGAAGUAUCUGAACGUGGUGUUGGAAAUGCUGCGUGCCGCUUCCAAUCUUCAGACGGAUGCCAGCAACUUUGACAUGAACGAGUACAUUGCCCACCUGCGCGAGAGUGUUCUCGAGGCAUAUACAGGCAUCAUUCAGGGCCUCAAGGGUCUCGAUCAGACAGCCCAUCCCGAUGUGAUGCACAUGGAGCCGCAUCUGAUGCACAUUAUUGGCUUCAUCAAGCGCAUUGCCCAGGAUGGCGAAGUAUCCGACUCGAUGAUGGCCAGUGCUGCUGGUUUCAUUGGCGAUCUGUGCACUUCCUUCGGACCCCGUCUUCACACGCUAUUGGACGAUGUCGUAAUCACACAAUUCCUGUCCGAGGGCAAGCGCUCCAAGGGUCAGCGCACGAAAAUGUUGUGCUCGUGGGCCCUGAAGGAGAUCAAGAAGAUCAAUAGCCAAGUCAUCACACAGUGAACGUCUAACUAGAGGUUAAUGUUUCCAACAAUACCCACAAUACAAGAAUGAACUGUCCAGUCCGAAUAAAUCUCUUCUUAACUACUAAGUUUUGUUUGUCCGAUCUACAAUGUAUAUAUUGUUGCUGUGCAACGUGUAAAUGCUAAGACACAUUGUUUAUAAAACUAAAUUAAUUUUAAGUUGAAGGAAUGGCCCGGCCCCCUCCGCCCUCCCAACCUAAAUAGUGAUUACAAUUUUGUUAACCUACCAAACAGAUUGCCCAUUGACUUAUUAUUAUUAUUAUCUAUUAUUGUGGCCGAAAGCAAAUUAUGACAAAUCUUUUGGGCAUUCUGUUUGGAAUGGCCCCCGAUUUUAAGCAUCACCAAAAGAACUUAUCAGAAGUUGUUAAUCGAAAUUAUGUCAAGCCUAAUUUAAGUGUGAAAAUCGGUAAAAACAAGAACACAAAACACACAUUAAAUACAUUACAAAUUCCUUGGAAACAUUAACUUGUUGUUAGCGGCUAUCAAAACAAAGCAAAAACAAAAACACACCCUAAUUUAUAAGACGCCUAUAAUUAUAUGUAACCCAAAAAAACACCUUAGAAAAACUUAAAAUUACAGCAAAAAAAAAAAA
RNAcentral lists this unclassified non-coding RNA (3682 nucleotides) under Drosophila pseudoobscura pseudoobscura. Its description in RNAcentral is "GA15406". The record is from RNAcentral. Lineage: Eukaryota; Metazoa; Arthropoda; Insecta; Diptera; Drosophilidae.